UACGUAGGGGGCAAGCGUUGUCCGGAAUCAUUGGGCGUAAAGCGCGUGUAGGCGGUCCGGUAAGUCCGCUGUGAAAGUCGGGGGCUCAACCCUCGGAUGCCGGUGGAUACUGUCGGGCUUGAGUACGGAAGAGGCGAGUGGAAUUCCUGGUGUAGCGGUGAAAUGCGUAGAGAUCGGGAGGAACACCGGUGGCGAAGGCGGCACGCUGGGCCGGCCCUGACGCUGAGGCGCGAAAGCGUGGGGAGCGAACUGG
RNAcentral lists this ribosomal RNA (253 nucleotides) under uncultured bacterium. Its description in RNAcentral is "partial 16S ribosomal RNA". It matches the Rfam family "Bacterial small subunit ribosomal RNA", at positions 524 to 776 of the family's 1533-position model. The record is from RNAcentral.